Molecule: ribosomal RNA, 253 nt
Filed under: uncultured bacterium
Lineage: Bacteria
Description: partial 16S ribosomal RNA
Rfam family: Bacterial small subunit ribosomal RNA
Source: RNAcentral
UACAGGGGGUGCAAACGUUGCUCGGAAUUAUUGGGCGUAAAGCGCGCGUAGGCGGUUUUCUAAGUCGGAUGUGAAAGCCCUUGGCUCAACCGAGGAAGUGCAUCCGAAACUGGAAAGCUAGAGUCCCAAAGAGGAUCGCGGAAUUCCCAGUGUAGAGGUGAAAUUCGUAGAUAUUGGGAGGAACACCAGUGGCGAAGGCGGCUCACUGGCCCGUUACUGACGCUGAGGCACGAAAGCGUGGGGAGCAAACAGG